RNAcentral lists this ribosomal RNA (500 nucleotides) under uncultured bacterium. Its description in RNAcentral is "bacterial SSU rRNA". It matches the Rfam family "Bacterial small subunit ribosomal RNA", at positions 791 to 1280 of the family's 1533-position model. The record is from RNAcentral.
UAGUCCACGCCGUAAACGAUGAGAACUAGAUGUCGGGGGGAAUUUACUCCUUCGGUAUCGCAGCUAACGCGUUGAGUUCUCCGCCUGGGGAGUACGCCGGCAACGGUAAAACUCAAAGGAAUUGACGGGGACCCGCACAAGCGGUGGAGCAUGUGGUUUAAUUCGAUGCAACGCGAAGAACCUUACCUGCCCUUGACAUCCUCAGAACUUGUUAGAGAUAACUUGGUGCCUUCGGGAAUUGAGUGACAGGUGCUGCAUGGCUGUCGUCAGCUCGUGUCGUGAGAUGUUGGGUUAAGUCCCGCAACGAGCGCAACCCUUGUCUUUAGUUGCCAUCAUUUAGUUGGGCACUCUAGAGAGACCGCCGGUGACAAACCGGGAGGAAGGUGGGGACGACGUCAAGGUCAUCAUGGGCCCUUAUGGGGCAGGGGGCUACACACGUGCUACAAUGGGGUGGUACAGAGGGGUUGCCAAGCCGCAAGGGUGGGAGCCAAUCCCAGAAA